Molecule: long non-coding RNA, 685 nt
Organism: Neocloeon triangulifer
Lineage: Eukaryota; Metazoa; Arthropoda; Insecta; Ephemeroptera; Baetidae
Exons: 3
Source: RefSeq, a predicted model, not a curated record
UAUGGCGACGCGUUUAUCUGAAAUCGAGUUUUCGACGACAAUUUCGGCUGUGUCGGCGGCUAAGCAGACCGUUCGGCCAAUAUGAAGACGUCUGACGUCGGCCAGAAAUUCUUUCCGCGAGUCGUGCUCUCCGCAACGCGUAUUAAUUAGAGCAGGUAACCGAAAAAUGGCCAGAGCGAGAGACUCUCCGAAGUCUCCGACACCGACGGACUGCUCGUAACGAGCUCGGGAAAUUUCUUCCCUUCCUUGGGACAAGAUCAAUCUGGGACGCAACCUUAUUUUUGACGCAGUUUGCAGUGAGCUGCUUUUGAUUUGCAUAGGAGUUCUCCAGUGCAGCGCUUGGAAAUGGACCGACGGACACAACCUUGAAAAAUCAGCCUGAUGUUGAAAUCUGCGACACCACCUCAGCCUCCUUGACCAGCUGAUGUGCAAAGAGAGGAGAACACCAUCAGCUGUCAAUGUGCACAUCAAGAUUAGAACUAUAAUUUGGGGGCUUUUGUUUCUGUAGGAUCAUGCGUAGCACACAGGGUUAUUGUGUACAAAUCGUAAUUGUAAAUAAUUUUAUUGCAUACGAGCCUUGAUGUAAUAUUGUUUUUUUGUAUGAGUUUCUUUUCUAGUUGGAGUUCAUGCAUCUCCAAGAGAAUCUUGUGUAUUUUGAAUUUACUUGUUAUUUAUAAAAAUGAUA